RNAcentral lists this transfer RNA (85 nucleotides) under Candidatus Saccharimonadota bacterium. RNAcentral's name for it is "tRNA-Leu". It matches the Rfam family "tRNA". Rfam says of the family: Transfer RNA (tRNA) molecules are approximately 80 nucleotides in length. Their secondary structure includes four short double-helical elements and three loops (D, anti-codon, and T loops). Lineage: Bacteria; Candidatus Saccharimonadota. The record is from RNAcentral.
GCCGGAGUGGCGGAAUCGGUAGACGCGCACGACUCAAAAUCGUGUUCUCUAGGGAGUGCGGGUUCAAGUCCCGCCUCCGGCACCA